GACGAACGCUGGCGGCGUGCCUAAUACAUGCAAGUAGGACGCACAGUUUAUACCGUAGCUUGCUACACCAUAGACUGUGAGUUGCGAACGGGUGAGUAACGCGUAGGUAACCUACCUAUUAGAGGGGGAUAACUAUUGGAAACGAUAGCUAAUACCGCAUAACAGUAUGUAACACAUGUUAGAUGCUUGAAAGAUGCAAUUGCAUCGCUAGUAGAUGGACCUGCGUUGUAUUAGCUAGUAGGUAGGGUAAAGGCCUACCUAGGCAACGAUACAUAGCCGACCUGAGAGGGUGAUCGGCCACACUGGGACUGAGACACGGCCCAGACCCCUACGGGAGGCAGCAGUAGGGAAUCUUCGGCAAUGGGGGGAACCCUGACCGAGCAACGCCGCGUGAGUGAAGAAGGUUUUCGGAUCGUAAAGCUCUGUUGUUAAGGAAGAACGAGUGUGAGAAUGGAAAGUUCAUGCUGUGACG
This 472-nucleotide ribosomal RNA is filed under the name Streptococcus anginosus. RNAcentral describes it as "bacterial SSU rRNA". It matches the Rfam family "Bacterial small subunit ribosomal RNA", at positions 28 to 474 of the family's 1533-position model. The record is from RNAcentral. Lineage: Bacteria; Bacillati; Bacillota; Bacilli; Lactobacillales; Streptococcaceae.